GCAAGUAUGCAAACAAGACUGACUCUUCCUUUCCACUGGAGCUUUGGGUAAUUGCUCUGACAAUUCUAUGAUUUGCUGAAGCCACGGAAAAUCAGUUUUAAAACAGGAUUUCUACCCCUGGCUCACUACAUGACAAAUAAUUUUAUCCUGUAAUCUUCUGAUGUUAAACAAAGAUGGCCCUCAAUGUAAUUGUUACAGUGCCUCCUCCCCACUUCUGUUAGCUGUUGCUUCUCUGCCUCCCAUGAGUUUAGUGUAAUCCCAGAACUUUGGGAGACCAAGGCGGGCAGAUCACUUGAGGUCAGGAGUCAGAGACCAGCCUGGCCAACAUGGCGAAACCCCAUCUCUACUGAAAAUACAAAAAUUAGCCAGGCAUGGUGGCUUGCGUCUGUAAUCCCAGCUACUUGAGAGGCUGAGACACAAGAAUCGCUUGAAUCCUGGAGGCAGAGGUUGCAGUGAGCUGAGAUAGUGCCACUACACUCCAGCCUGGGAGACAGAGCGAGACCCUGUCUCAAAACAACAAAAAACAAAAACCGAACAAACAAAAACUGUAAUUGCUGAAACGCUCUUUUUCAUCAAUCAUAUAUAUUGAACCACGGUCACGAAAACAUGGGAAAAGUGUAAUUUCUGCCUCUGAGGAACUCACAGUCUAGUGGGAGACACCAUUUAUUCAUCCAUUCUUUCAUGAAAUACACAUUGAGAAUGUAACACACCCUGGGCAAAGGAGAGGUCAUUUGACUAUGACACAAGACAAUAGUCAUAGUCUUUGCUCUCAUGGAAUUCACAGCCUAGCCAUGGAGAUUAAAAAUAAAAAGAUCUAAUAGAAUAAAGAGUAGUAGAUUUAAAAACACUGGAAACCCAGUGUGCAGUAAAACUAAAAAAGAGGGCUACCUAACCUAGUGUGAGAGGUGAGGUAGAGGUUAGGGUGAGAAAGGAUGGUAUAGGAAGGCUUUCUGGAAAAUUUCAAGAUAAAUCUUGAGGAUAAGUCAGAAUUAUACAGUCCAAGCUCACUGCAGUUAAAUCUUCAGUCUCCAGCACUGCACUUGGGAAAGCGUCAAGGAGUUGAAUGUAUAUGUAAUUGGAGUGCCAGAAGAAGAGAACUGAGAGAGAGGGGCAGAACAGCUCAUGAGGGGGAAAACCCACUACAUACAAACAAGAAUACUGCAGACUCCUCAUCAGAAUCUAUGCUACCUGUAAAGGCUUGUAAAAGCACAGAGCUGCUCUCACCAUGCAGCCAAAGAAGAAAUGAGGAUAUCGGUCCUAUAACUGCAAGGAACUGAAUGCUGCCAACCACCUGAACGGACUUGGGCUACUGAGAAGAAGCUAUUCUAGCAAAGCUGGAGGAAUUCCACCAGACUGACAGAACAACACAAAUAAGUCCAUGCCUGACGCACAGCAGGGGCUCAAGGCAAGUUUGUGGACUCGAAGCCCUGUUAGAAUGGAUGGAAUUUGGUCUUAUGAAGCAGAUAGAAGAACAGGAGCUUGACUGUAAAGAUUUGUCUCCACCUCUUAAUAAAGCAUAUCAUCUCCAAGACGCAAGUCCUUCUUCUGUCUUUUAAGUAUGAACUCCCUGUCUUUUAAGUAUGAACUGCUUAACUGAGACUCAGUAAAAUUAUAACUAGC
RNAcentral lists this long non-coding RNA (1620 nucleotides) under Homo sapiens (human). Its description in RNAcentral is "HSALNT0026439". Lineage: Eukaryota; Metazoa; Chordata; Mammalia; Primates; Hominidae. The record is from RNAcentral.